Molecule: long non-coding RNA, 220 nt
Organism: Phyllostomus discolor (pale spear-nosed bat)
Lineage: Eukaryota; Metazoa; Chordata; Mammalia; Chiroptera; Phyllostomidae
Exons: 2
Source: RefSeq, a predicted model, not a curated record
GUCCUCUCUUCGAGGGCCUAGUGACCCCUCUCAAUUCCCUAGCGCCGUCCGUGCCCUCUCUCCGUACCCCAGGCUUUGGGGCCUUAAGGCGGUGAGGGCACUGUGAGAAGGCAGCAAGCCAGAAAGGCCAUCAACAGAAACCAGCCCUGGUAGCUUCCUGAUCUCGGACUUCCUGCAUCCUGGACUGAGAAAAUAAAUGUCAGUUGUUUGAGCCACACAA